RNAcentral lists this ribosomal RNA (253 nucleotides) under uncultured bacterium. RNAcentral describes it as "partial 16S ribosomal RNA". It matches the Rfam family "Bacterial small subunit ribosomal RNA", at positions 524 to 776 of the family's 1533-position model. The record is from RNAcentral.
UACGUAGGGGGCAAGCGUUGUCCGGAGUCAUUGGGCGUAAAGAGCGUGUAGGCGGCCCGGUAAGUCCGCUGUGAAAGUCCAGGGCUCAACCCUGGGAUGCCGGUGGAUACUGUCGGGCUCGAGUCCGGAAGAGGCGAGUGGAAUUCCUGGUGUAGCGGUGAAAUGCGCAGAUAUCAGGAGGAACACCAAUGGCGAAGGCAGCUCGCUGGGACGUGACUGACGCUGAGACGCGAAAGCGUGGGGAGCAAACAGG